AUUGAACGCUGGCGGCAGGCCUAACACAUGCAAGUCGAGCGGAUGAAGGGAGCUUGCUCCUGGAUUCAGCGGCGGACGGGUGAGUAAUGCCUAGGAAUCUGCCUGGUAGUGGGGGAUAACGUCCGGAAACGGGCGCUAAUACCGCAUACGUCCUGAGGGAGAAAGUGGGGGAUCUUCGGACCUCACGCUAUCAGAUGAGCCUAGGUCGGAUUAGCUAGUUGGUGGGGUAAAGGCCUACCAAGGCGACGAUCCGUAACUGGUCUGAGAGGAUGAUCAGUCACACUGGAAUUGAGACACGGUCCAGACUCCUACGGGAGGCAGCAGUGGGGAAUAUUGGACAAUGGGGGAAAGCCUGAUCCAGCAAUGCGGCGUGGGUGAAGAAGGUCUUCGGAUUGUAAAGCACUUUAAGUUGGGAGGAAGGGCAGUAAGUUAAUACCUUGCUGUUUUGACGUUACCAACAGAAUAAGCACCGGCUAACUUCGUG
This 484-nucleotide ribosomal RNA is filed under the name uncultured bacterium. Its description in RNAcentral is "partial 16S ribosomal RNA". It matches the Rfam family "Bacterial small subunit ribosomal RNA", at positions 30 to 507 of the family's 1533-position model. The record is from RNAcentral.